GGAGAACUCGCCUAGUGGUCGAUGGCGCACGCUUGGAGAGCGUGUAGGGUGCAAGCCCUCGCGGGUUCGAAUCCCGCAUUCUCCG
RNAcentral lists this transfer RNA (85 nucleotides) under Candidatus Servula neotermitis. Its description in RNAcentral is "tRNA-Ser". It matches the Rfam family "tRNA". Rfam says of the family: Transfer RNA (tRNA) molecules are approximately 80 nucleotides in length. The record is from RNAcentral. Lineage: Bacteria; Bacillati; Actinomycetota; Actinomycetes; Bifidobacteriales; Bifidobacteriaceae.